RNAcentral lists this transfer RNA (71 nucleotides) under Loxodonta africana (African savanna elephant). It matches the Rfam family "tRNA". Rfam says of the family: Transfer RNA (tRNA) molecules are approximately 80 nucleotides in length. Their secondary structure includes four short double-helical elements and three loops (D, anti-codon, and T loops). The record is from Rfam by way of RNAcentral. Lineage: Eukaryota; Metazoa; Chordata; Mammalia; Proboscidea; Elephantidae.
GCAGUGGUGGCUGAAGGGUAGAAUUCUUGCCUUCCAUGCAGGCAACCUGGGUUCAAUUCCUGGCCGGUGCA